RNAcentral lists this ribosomal RNA (484 nucleotides) under uncultured organism. RNAcentral's name for it is "bacterial SSU rRNA". It matches the Rfam family "Bacterial small subunit ribosomal RNA", at positions 30 to 507 of the family's 1533-position model. The record is from RNAcentral.
AUUGAACGCUGGCGGCAUGCCUUACACAUGCAAGUCGAACGGUAACGCGGGGGCAACCCUGGCGACGAGUGGCGAACGGGUGAGUAAUACAUCGGAACAUAUCCAGUAGCGGGGGAUAACCUAUCGAAAGAUUGGCUAAUACCGCAUACGAUCUACGGAUGAAAGCGGGGGACCGCAAGGCCUCGCACUAUUGGAGUGGCCGAUGUCAGAUUAGCUAGUUGGUGGGGUAAAAGCCUACCAAGGCGACGAUCUGUAGCUGGUCUGAGAGGACGAUCAGCCACACUGGAACUGAGACACGGUCCAGACUCCUACGGGAGGCAGCAGUGGGGAAUUUUGGACAAUGGGCGCAAGCCUGAUCCAGCCAUGCCGCGUGAGUGAAGAAGGCCUUCGGGUUGUAAAGCUCUUUCGGUGAAGACGAAACGGUUAGCGUUAAUAACGCUGACUAAUGACGGUACUCACAGAAGAAGCACCGGCUAACUACGUG